GUGGGGAAUAUUGGACAAUGGGCGAAAGCCUGAUCCAGCCAUGCCGCGUGUGUGAAGAAGGUCUUCGGAUUGUAAAGCACUUUAAGUUGGGAGGAAGGGCAGUAAGUUAAUACCUUGCUGUUUUGACGUUACCGACAGAAUAAGCACCGGCUAACUUCGUGCCAGCAGCCGCGGUAAUACGAAGGGUGCAAGCGUUAAUCGGAAUUACUGGGCGUAAAGCGCGCGUAGGUGGUUUUGUAAGUUGGAGGUGAAAUCCCCGGGCGCAACCUGGGAACUGCCUACAAAACUGCAUGACUAGAGUACGGUAGAGGGUAGUGGAAUUUCCUGUGUAGCGGUGAAAUGCGUAGAUAUAGGAAGGAACACCAGUGGCGAAGGCGACUACCUGGACUGAUACUGACACUGAGGUGCGAAAGCGUGGGGAGCAAACAGGAUUAGAAACCCCAGUAGUCC
Molecule: ribosomal RNA, 450 nt
Filed under: uncultured bacterium
Lineage: Bacteria
Description: partial 16S ribosomal RNA
Rfam family: Bacterial small subunit ribosomal RNA
Source: RNAcentral